ACUCAAUAGAUACCCAGGUAGUCCACGCCCUAAACGAUGCAUAUUUGGUGUGGGCCAUUCAUUUGGUCUGUGCCGGAAACUAACGCGUUAAAUAUGCCGCCUGGGGAGUACAGUCGCAAGGCUGAAACUCAAAGGAAUUGACGGGGGCCCGCACAAGCGGUGGAGCAUGUGGUUUAAUUCGACGCAACGCGAAGAACCUUACCUGGGCUCGAAAUGCUUACGACCAUCUUUGGAAACAGAGACUUCCCGCAAGGGACGUGAGUAUAGGUGCUGCAUGGCUGUCGUCAGCUCGUGUCGUGAGAUGUUGGGUUAAGUCCCGCAACGAGCGCAACCCUUGUCCUGUGUUGCCAUCAUUAAGUUGGGAACUCGCAGGAGACCGCCAGGGAUAACCUGGAGGAAGGUGGGGAUGACGUCAAGUCCUCAUGGCCUUUAUGUCCAGGGCUACACACGUGCUACAAUGGACGGUACAAAGCGCUGCCAACCCGCGAGGGGGAGCCAAUCGCAAAAAACCGUUCUCAGUUCGGAUUGCAGGCU
This 534-nucleotide ribosomal RNA is filed under the name uncultured bacterium. RNAcentral's name for it is "bacterial SSU rRNA". It matches the Rfam family "Bacterial small subunit ribosomal RNA", at positions 772 to 1306 of the family's 1533-position model. The record is from RNAcentral.